RNAcentral lists this unclassified non-coding RNA (306 nucleotides) under uncultured fungus. RNAcentral describes it as "partial contains small subunit ribosomal RNA, internal transcribed spacer 1, and 5.8S ribosomal RNA". The stretch from base 1 to 73 matches the Rfam family "Eukaryotic small subunit ribosomal RNA", at positions 1759 to 1831 of the family's 1831-position model. Lineage: Eukaryota; Fungi. The record is from RNAcentral.
UCAAACUUGGUCAUUUAGAGGAAGUAAAAGUCGUAACAAGGUAACCGUAGGUGAACCUGCGGUUGGAUCAUUACAAAGUUUUUGAUUCAUUCUCAAUUGGACUUGCUUCAAUUUUGAUGAAUCUUUAACCCCUUGUGCAAUUGUAACUUAAAUCUGGGUGUUCUUGUUUUCAGAUGUCAAAGUUUGAAAUACCACCCGAACUAUUAUAAACCCUUUAUAUUAUUGUCUGAUAUUAUUCUAAAAAAAUAAUUAAAAACAACUUUUGACAACGGAUCUCUUGGCUCUCGCAUCGAUGAAGAACGCAGC